Callithrix jacchus (white-tufted-ear marmoset) is the source of this 19326-nucleotide non-coding RNA. NCBI's taxonomy places the organism in Eukaryota, Metazoa, Chordata, Mammalia, Primates, Cebidae. The record is from RefSeq and is a predicted model, not a curated record.
UCGCGGAAGGAAACCCAGUCCACGGGGAAGGGAGCAGAGCCAGAGGGGGGCAGCGCUGCGCCUUGUGGCAGCCCUGACAGCUGGCAAUGCCAGCCCAAGGGAGAGGACCCUGCGGCCAUUUCAUCUCUACCCCCAAAUUAGGCCCCGCUUUGUGGUCUUGAAAGGCCGGCGUGUAAGAGAGUGAAGUGGGAAUUUGAUAGCGCCAGGACAUAAGGGGCUGCCUGCUCUGAGACCCCCUUCUCCCAGCCCCCACUUUCUAGGGGGUCCAGUGCUUCCUGAGCCCCAAACGCAUUCCAGUUACUUGGAUACGCUAACAUUUUAAGGAUUUCUGUCUAUAAGUUAAAACGUAAGAGCCCGAAAGAGGGUGUUAAUGUACAUCCUGGCAAACUGGAAGCAACAAAGUUGGUGAACGAGAAAGAAAGCCGCCUUGAAUAAGAAGCCCAUCUUUUGCAAUGCUAUACUUGUUUCCUUUUUGAAAAGAGUUGAGGUGGUCCGUCCCUUACAUGGCAAAGUAAAAGGUAGUAGACAGUGUUGGGGUGGGGGCAGAGUUUGGAGACGACCACUGAAGUGCCCCUUUCUGGGCUGGAACAAGGGUCGCGGCGCAGAUAUCUGAAGCUGGAGGCAGAAGCCCAGGCGACGGGCAGGCAGGCCACGUGGCUGUUCCCUGUGGCGCCUGCAGCUUUGGUCCUGGAAACCUUAGGGUGUGGAGCUCCUUGGGCCAACUAAAGGGUUCAGCUUGUUGGGAGAAGAGAGGACGAGUGUUAUUUCUCCAGCGAGGGGUAAACAAGACUGUGCUUUCAUGGGAGGGACAAAUUGCAGAGUUGGUCCCUUACCGUUUUACAAAAAUAUUCAGAAACAAUGACUACAGCUUGUCAACUGGCCUGUUUGGCGAGCCGCUGCCUUAUUGUAAAAUAGUCUGUCUGAAAAUCAGAUUCGACUUGACUUCCACUUAAUUUCAGUAGCACUGUGGCAGUUCUCGAAACAGUCACCCCUGCACCCUUGCCUACGUGUCUUCCACUUACAGAUUUUAUCUCUUGGGAGCGCUUAGAGAAUGCGGCAGAAAUUCUGCCCCACUCUUCAUCAAGUGUUCCUUUUUGUAAAUCUGAAUUGCGCAGCAUUCUGCAAUUCUUAUGUAGAACAUGGCUGCAGAAAUCUUGAAACUUUUUCCACUUCAGCUAUUUUUUUAAAGAACAAUAUCAAAUCUUAUUUUGUUUUGUUCUUUUUUUCUCUGUAGCUGAGUUAUCAAAAAUAAAGAGAUUGAAUGAUUGGACUCUUUUCUUUGUGGCCACGGGUAAGCAAGACAGGAAAGUGUGGCCAAAGUGUAAAGGAAACCUUACCUGACCAAGGGGAAUUGGGGAAGGGGAGGGGAGUGGACAAGGAACUGGAGGAGAAACUGAGUCCACAACUGCGCAACAGCCAGGGGUCAUUAGCCAGCCCAUCUUGCAGCCAUCAAUCUCCAAGCCUGGUUCUUAAAUAAGUGUGCCCAACCCUUUCCCGGCACUAAACUUCUAGCUUAUAAAGAGCUCCUGGCCAUUGGGUACAGGAACCCCCGACCAAGGCUCAGGCAACGCUCUGAUGCCAGGAUACUUAGAGGGGAAUUCAAAAUGAACACCUAACCAGAACCAUCCUGACCAUGGAAUCAUUCAGCCAGAGUCACAAUUGAUGACUACUUCUAAGAAGAAAUUUCUCUUGAACUGUUCUAAAGAGUGGAGGAUGAGAGGACCUUUGAGUUCUUAAGCAGGGCUUGAAUGUUACUUUUGGAGCAAAAGGUAUUAGCUUGCCAGGAGUUACCUCUGAAAAUGGCUGGCACUAGAAACUCUCUGCUUUACAAACUGCAGCAGGCCCUGGCUGAUCAUCCAGUCUGCUCAUGUACAGCUCUUUCUUAUCUAACAUUUUACCUAACAAUUUUCUUUUCCACAUUUGCUGGGGCAAAGAUGGCUCCCUUUUUACUUGUUGACAAGUCAGAUAUAACUCUGAAUUAUUGAUUAUCUUAUAUAUGCAAUAAUAAUCGCAACUUCUGCAAUAUUCAGUUUAAAUUCGAAAGCGUACUUCUUUCUAAAAUCUCAAUCUUGGGACCGUAAAAACAAUCUUAGAAAUUUUCUUUUAAGGCUGAAUUUUCCUUUAAGUCUGACAUCCUUCCUAACUGGAAGGACGUCAAUGGGGACUACCUUUUUUGGGAAUGCUAGAAUUCAGUCAUUUUGUCUACUUCUAAAAUAAAAUCCCCCCCAAAAAAAUUUAACUGAAAAAAAAUUUAUUUUGUACUUGAAUAAUGCAAAAUGAUCUUUGUUUUCAAACUGCAAACUUGGCAUAUAUGCAAUCCUGCCUGAGGAAUGUGUGCUGUGUUAAAAAUUGAAACAAAAAAUACUGUUAAAAGUAACAGAGUUAGAAAUCUCACACUGAAUAUAUACAAUAAAUAUUAAGUCUCCUGACAGUUUGAAUAUGCUGUGACACUUUCUUAGCAACAAUCCAUUAUAAAUACUUUUAGAUAAGGAAAACAAACACACACUAGAGAAUGGUUAGCAAGCUGGUAAAUUCUGGAGUUUGGGCUUGCAUAAAAGGUGAGUACUCGGUGGCUCACACCUGUAAUCCCAGCACUUUGGGAGGCCGAGGCGGGUGGAUCACGAGAACAAGAGUUCGAGACCAUCCUGGUCAACAUGGUGAAACCCCGUCUCUACUAAAAAUACAAAAAAUUAGCUGGGAAUGUUGGCACGUGCCUGUAAUCCCAGCUACUCAGGAGGCUGAGGCAGGAGAAUUGCCUGAACCCAGGAGGCAGAGGUUGCGGUGAGCCGAGAUCGUGCCAUUGCACUCCAGGCUGGGUAACAAGAGCGAAACUCCGUCUAAAAAAAAAAAAAAAAAAGGUGAGUACUUCUAUCUGUUCCUUCUCUUCUUUCUCCUCAGACUUUACAUGACCAGUUUGCUGGCUCCGAGUUCUGAGAAAUAAUUUAUCUGAAAUGCAUAGAUAAUGUACAGGAACAUUCACAGAAGGAGGAGAAAAUUAGAAAGGCUGCAAUUGAGUGGCUAUCAGAUGAGGGGGUGUGUUGGCUGGAGAGUUGGUGUCUCAGCUGCCCAUUAACCUUGGAAAACACACUCACUUCACUUAUAUCAAAGAGUUGCUGGAAUAACUGAAGAAAGAAUGCAAGAAAUAAAUAGUUAUUCAUAAGAAUUGUUAUCAUGGUGUCAGUCUUCCUUCAUAGCAUUAUAUGUCUUCUUUUUAAUCAUCCUAUGACCAGUAAUUUAAAUAUAAAUGGAAUGAUUUACAUUUCAUGUUUUUUCAAUUCAAUUUCUCUUUCUGAUGACUCAUAACUUUCACAUUUUUUUUCGCUUGAAGGGAUUUCCUUUUUUCACAAAUGGCUUUUCCUGAAGCCUUAUGUCCUGCGGCUGUUUGGUUUGGUUCUUUGCAGAAAACAUGUUGUUUUUGCCAGUGACCACAAGAGGACACAAUUUCCCAGAUAACUGUUCCAUAGAAGAGGAAAGCUAACAAAAUAGCAAAAAUAACACACAAUAUCAUUUGGAGAUGUCUAUUUAAUUUAUGCCACUUUUAUUUAAAAAAUGAGUUGGCAUUCAAACUUUUGAAGAUUUUAUAAUUUUAAUUUUUUUAGAACAUGAAGAAAAUACACUAAUGUAGUUAAGGAAAAUGUUUCUUUUAUAUUGACAAAAUUGUGUAUGAAACUCUUGGUGACUUGGAAUUUUACUUAAUUUUUGAGCCAUGUUUGGCAAUGAAAAACAGUUUAAAAAACGAUUUUUCAAAAUGCCAUUAACACUCUGAAUUUUUACUUCAGACAUUUGGGUUGUCUUUACAUUGAAAACCAUGAAAAUUAUGUUUUAUACUUUUCCACUUAUAUUUUAAUGCACAUGUUAGGCUAAUAAUUAAAAUUAUUUUGCAGAUACAUGGAAAAUGUGGUAUGUUAAGGUACUGACUCUCAACACUUUCUCAGAAUUAUUAUACACAAUCUCUAAGAGAUCCUUCCUCUUUUCUACUGCCUUCUCUCAGAAACAUUUUAGAAUAUUUGAUUUCUUUGUAAAUUAAAUUGGAUUAUGGCUUGAUACUUUUCUGAAGAUGUUCAUGGUUCUGGUGAAUUGCUGGACGAGCAGGCUUUGAAAUCCUGCUUUCCUUGGAACUAAAUGCUUUUGCUUUGCAUUUGUAUCUUCCUGCAGAUACAUCCCUGAUUAUUUUCUCUGAGACCCUGCUAGAGUGAGUGAGCAAGGACUCUGAAAAAAAAAAGGAAAGAAAGAAAAAGGAAAGAGUAAGAAAUAAGAAAAAUAAGGAGAUCAAGAGAAAUGAAGCAGAAUCUGGAGAGAGAUGGUGAGAGAACUCAAACAAGAGAGCAAGAGUGAUAGAGAAGGAGACUUUGUAUAUAGAAGGAAUAAAAGGCCUACAUGAUAAAAGAAAGAAAGAAAUUGAUGCAUUUGAGAGAAAUGUAAAAGCACCAGGUUUAUUUUCCUCUGUUUCUGAUCAAAGAUACUACCUGUCCCUUGAUACAGACAUUUAGAUUCAAAAAUUCCUGUAAUUGUUGCCUAAGUCAUACCAAAGUUAAAACAGGUAGAGAACCAUUAAAUUUAUAAUUAAGGUUGGUGUUCAUCUAUUGGGUGAGCUCUGAAAGAUGCCAAUAUGUUGUCAUUACUGGAUCUCAGGGCGGAUCUCAUCUGGGGGAAUACUGAUGUCAUCAUUUUUCUAUGGACAUGAUGUUCUUUUCCAUUUGAUCUGCACAUUAGAAGUCAAACUGUGUUUUUCCUGGUGGUUUGUUUGCUAGGGUCAAUAUCUUUGCCCUCCUCACCACAGAUACCUUAGAAAAAGCACGGCAAGUGAUGAGUCUUGUUCUCACUCUACUCAAGACCUUGAGACAUUGUAAGGUUCUGGUUCUGCCUAAUGGUGCAUUUGGGAGAUCUGAAAUCUGGUUUCAACUGGCACUAGUUAACUGCAAUGGAUUUAUUGAUUCUUUUGUAAUUUAACAAAAAUGUAUCAAUGUCUCUUAGGUUAUCUGAGUAGGAAAGUUUAGUCCCUGACAAAUACAUAACAGUAUUAUAGGAAAUAAAUUAUGAAAACAAUUUUGUAACAUAGGAAGCUAAGUAUUAUGAUAUGUGUUUGCACAGAAAGCCAAGGAAGGACAUCAAACCUGGACUGAGGUGAUGAGUGCCUUUGUGCAUUGGAGAAUUACCUUAGUGCCAUGGUGGUGGCCAAAUACACUUCUAGGAAAACUGUCCCAGACAGAAAGGCACAGAAAGCCUCACAGACCAAAUUAAGAUACACAUGACAUGUCACAUGGUUUAUUGAGUCAAUCUGAAGCAUACAGCAAAAAAAGGAAAAUCUAUAGCCGAGUUUAAUAUACUAGGAUAGGUUGCAAAUAGGCAGGAAGGAUCACGCUACCCAGAUCCUGUUGUAUAUGAUGUUAACAUGUCCUAGGUUUUUUUUCUCUCUAUUUUCCUAUAUCAAUCUUCCCUUUCUUUGAAGAUUGAUAUCAACUUUGAAGAGGUUCAAAGUUAAAGAUAAACAUGAAUAGAGGAUGAGACACAGGCAGAUGCUCUUGUCCAUAGUUGGGACUUGACAUAGCCUGGUGAGCAGCUAUAGAUUUUAUCUUUCUGUCAGCCAGAGGGCUAGUGGCCCAUAUUGAAUGUCCAUAACAAAUAGCCUAUUUAAGACCUCAUAAGUAUGAGUGCUUCAUGAAUAGCAGCUUCCUUACAAGCUUUAUGACAGUUUCAUGCUUACUUGGUCUUUCUGUCUCUUCCUGUUUGGUCUGCUUACACCACUGAUAUUUAAGAUGUCUCUCAUGCUACUUGUUUCUGUACUUAAAUUCAUCUCUUCUUGUUUCCCUGAUUUUUUUAGUAGAAAUAGUUCUUCAUAAAAAUUAUAGUAAGCGUAUAUUGCAGUUUUCUGAAGGACACUGUAGUUCAGCUUUAGUCUUGAAGGAUGAGUGGUAGUGAACCAGGUAAGAAGUAGAAACAGAAGGGGGAAAAAAAGUUUACGAGUUCUGGGUGCAGUGUGGGUGAGACACAGAGCCAUGUGCAAGCGUGGCUUUUUCAGGAGCACGGAAAGACUUUUUGUAUGGGUGGGGGUGAAAUGGGAGAGGGUAGCUGCCAGAACUGAUGCCAAAUAUUAGUUUCCCAAGAUGUAAAAUGAAGUAAUUAAAUUAGUAAUUUGAAAAAGUUUAAAAACAUUUAAAUUUGAAGGGAUCUUUAGAAAUCAUCUAGUCUAAAUAGCCAGCUUUAUAGAUAAAAUAUUUUUCUUUCUGGCUGCUUCAUUUAUAACUCUAUAAUUCAGCCAUAGGCAAAUUCUGUGCUUUUUUUUUGUAACCCAAAAGCAUUUUCUCAGCUGAUAAGAAUAAGUUUUCUUUUUGUUCUAGACACUGCUUGUGGCCAACCGUGGGACUAAACUUCCGUGCCAAAAGUGAUUAAAAUAGGCAAUGAAGUGUUUUGAAUGGAAUAAAAGGGACUCCCUCCAAAUGCUGCCUAUGUUUCCCAAAGUCAUGCUUUAAAUCUGUCACUGGUAACUUAUUAAUUUGGGACUGGCAUUGUCCUUUCUAGUUCCUCUUUUGUAUCACAAAGUCCCCAAUGUGAGGCAGCACAUGGGAUCACUAAUAUCUUUGAACAAAUUUGAUUGUAUGUUGUUUUUCUCAAGAAAGGGGGACUCAGGCAGCAAGAGGAUACUGGAACGUGUUGGGGAGGCCAGGCCUAAAGGAAGCUGAAAGGCAGGAAAAAUUGUGAAGAAAAUGAAGAUUGUGAUUCUAAGGGCUUUGCUAUUUUCCUAAUGUAGGGAUUGGCCUGACACCAUGGGCCUUUUCAGGAUUUCCAUGCCUUUUAUUUGCUAACAUGUCCUAUGGUUUUUUUCUCCCUAUUUCCCUAUGUCAAUCUUUCCUGCUGAUGCUGUGCUUGAGGUCCAAAGAUAAGGAUAAGCAUGAAUGGAGGAUGAGUGGAGAGAUACAGAGCAGAUGCUUUUGUCCACAGCUGGGACUUAACAGUGUGGCUGAAACUGUUAGUUCUGUCUUUUGAGAUCAGUUCUAGAUAGAUAGAGCACAUUGAGAAAAUGAAAAAUAACAAACCGCUUGGUCUUGUCUCACUGUCUUAAUUUCUGUCAAUUGAAAGGUCUUGGACCCUUGAAUUAUGUCUAUCAAUAAGACAUACUCUUCUAUUUCACUAUCAGAUGUGAGGUAGGAACAAAGGGUAUUGCACAGUCUCUUUGUUUUAACUGUAAUGGGCAGUAUAGAUAUAGUUGUCUUCAAAAGUAGGAACAUUUCCAGGAAAUAAGAAGUAUAUAAAAUGAAGACUGGGAAAACAAAAAUAUCCACUAAUGGUCAUACGCAACCUUAAUUUUAACUUUACAGUCAAGUUUUGGGCCAGAGAAAAGUAAUAGUUAUGUAUCAAUUAAAACAAAGAUAUCAAUUCUCAACAACAUGAGAAGACUUGGACAAUCUGAGGAGCAAGUAGAUACUGGAAAUGAAUCAUACUUAAUUUAUUUUGUUUUAAUUGGGACAUCUUCCAAAAUAUACUACAAUCUGAUUUAAUUAUGAACAAAGAUAAACUCUACUUCUAGAUUCAUAUAACUAACAUCAAUUCACUGUUAUUUUCUUUAUGUUGAUUCUUAUAUGAAAGUUGGGCACCCAGAUUUUAAAUAGAGAUUCAUUAAAAUAUUCUAUGGUAAUUUUAUGGAAAAUGUAACAUAUAUUUUAAAUGGGAGAGAAAGAAUUUUAAGAGAAAAUUUGGUAUGACAGAAAGAUUAUCCAGUUUUACCUGUGAGUACAGUAGCAAUCACAACUGCUUUAUCUUGUAUCAUUCCAGGGAUUACUAGGUAUAGUAGAGGUUCUUAUUGUUGGAAUAAUUUGAUAGAAUGAAAGCAGAAUAAAAAUAGAGCAAAAAGGAAUCUAGGUAAUCUCCUCAGAUUAAAUUAGAUUAUAAUUCUACUUUAAUUUAUUGUCAAAUUCUUUUUUUUUCUUUGAGAUGGAGUCUUGUUUUGUCACUGGGCUGAAGUGCAGUGGCAUGAUCUCAGCUCACUGCAACCUCCACCUCCAAGGUUCAAGCGAUUCUCCUGCCUCAGUCUCCUAAGUACCUGGGAUUACAGACACGCACCACCAUGCCUGGCUAAUUUUUGUAUUUUUUUUAGUAGAGACAGGGUUUCACCAUAUUGGCCAGGCUGGUCUCAAACUCCUGACCUCGUGAUCCACCUGCCUCGGCCUCCAAAAGUGCUGGGAUUACAGAUGUGAGCCACCAGUAAAGUUCUUAACGCAUCACAACUGAGGACUGGAGAAACUGCUUACAAAAAUGCACUUAAAUAAAAUCAUAGAAUACUGGAGCUAGAAGAGGUUUCAGAAAUCCAGAGCAACUCUUCCUUUUCUGGCAAGGCAGAGUGGCUAUAGAGAGUACAGUAGUGGAUUAGAGCCUGGAUUCUAGAGGUAAUCAGCCUGGGUUCAAAUAUGGCUCAACUUCUCACUACCUUUUUAACCUUGGAUAAGUUACUUAGCCCUUCAUGCUUCCUGUGAGAGGGAAAAAAUAAUGUACAUCAUUAAGUUGUUAUGAUGAUUAAAUUUCUAAGUGCUAACCCCUUAAGAUGGUGCCUGGUACUUGAUGUGUGCUUGAUAUUAUUGAGAACUAAGUUAUGCAAGACCUUGUAGACUGAGGUGAAGCUUUGCCCUCAAUUCUGAAGGCAAAAGUUGGAGUUUAAAGGGCAAAUGAGGAAAUUAAUUGAUGAGCCAUUUCUGUUUGAAAAGCAGCUAUUUCUAAAUCCAUACAUUACCACCCAAAGACAUGAAGUGCACACUGGGGACAUUAGUUGGAAGAAGUUUUAUAAUUUAUCUAUGUCCUGCCUGUAAACGAAUGGCAACACGACACAUACGAUUUCUUCAACUUCUAUACUGGGCCACAUCUUUGCCAAGGUAAAGACUAUCAUAUUUAACUAUCUACUUGAUACCACAAUGUGGGAUCCUCACAGGCAUCUCAAACUCACUGCCACUCUCACAUAACCGAUUCCUUUCACCCCUGCAAAUCCGUAAAUUUUAGUAAAUUGUUUCUCUAAUUGUUUAGCUUAGGAGCCUAAGAGCCAUCAUCAAUACCUCUGUUUUUCUUAACUCACUCUCUCCUUCAUCCAAGUGAUCAUGAGAGGAGAGCAGUCUCCCACCAAGACUGACAGACUGGAUAUUCAACAAUAGUAGGAAGUUGAUUUGCAUGCAGGACAGUUCGUAAAGCUCUAACAGAGAUGACAUUGCCAGAGUUUGUAGCACUAAGAUUUGCAGUAGCACAAUUUGGCAUUCAGUGGCUCGUACUGGAGUCCCUUUCAGUGUUAAUGUUUUCUUCCUAAGUAGCCUAUGUGCCACGAGAACACAGAUUCUUCUCAUAUUACUUAUGGACUCCAUAGUGUGCAAAAUAGAUAUUUCAUUAAUUCUUGUAUAUUGAUUAUUACUCUCUUUAGAGAAUUACAAGAAGUUCAGGUCUUCCAUAGGUCAAAUAUUUAUCAAUUUACCUCUGUGUUAAUUUAAACCUGCAUUUAGCUAAUAUACACAAAUAAUAAAACUAAGUAAUAUAUGUUACUCAAAAUAAGAGAUUAAAAACACUUCUUUAAAAAUAUUAAUUUAGAGAAUAUUUCUUUCUGGAUCCUGGAAUUACCCAAUGAACAUAUCUGGCCCUUGCUUGCCCAAGUACAAUAAUGAAUAAUUGGGACAAUAUUGUAUUUUGUAUCAUAGAACCAGAAGGAUGUGACACAGUAUAAGUAUUGAUGAGAUGAAAAAAGAACUACAAUAAAGCAGACACCAUCUGUAAAUUAUUUGGUUUAUGUUCUUUGCAAAGAAUAAAUUAAAUUAGUUGAGCCUGAACUGGACAAGAAGAAUGUUUUACCUGUGUAGUUUCAAAACACAGAGGUUUGUGUAAUAAAACAGUUGGGAGAAAAUACCAAGGGAGUGCCCAAUCAGUGGCUGUAGUAAUUAGAAUAGGAAAGGAGUUUGUUCUUUGACUGCUGAAAACAUCAAUUCUGUCUUCUGAUUUCUCAGGAUUAUACAAACAUUUAAGGAGUGGUGCAUUCUAGUCAUAAUAUGUCAAUGUCACUCCAUCAGGAGUCUUAGAACUUAGGAGUAUUCAGUUGACCACAGCAUUCUUGUGCAGCAGUAAUAGUUCUGACCUGGAAAUUGGUCAGUGUCUAUAGCAUGUAGUGGCUUUUCUUUGGGGGAACAGAGAAACAAGUUAGGAGGCCAUUGCAGUAAUCUAGAUAAGAGCUGAUUGUAACCUGAACUUGAGUGGUAGUGGUAGAACUGGAGUUGUAAAGAAAUGAUAAGAUUGCAGAUAUGUUUUGAAAGUAGCCAACAGGAUUUGUUAAAGGUAAGACAUGAGGUGUGUGUGAGAGGAAUGAAGGAUGAUGCUGUCUUUUGAUCUAUGCAAAAUAAAGAGUAUGUUGGCAACUACUGAGAUGAAGAAGGUUUGUAAAUGCAACACAUUUCAAGGGAGAAAAAGAGUUCAGUUUUAGAUAUAUAAACUUUGAGUUGUCAGCUAAAAAUUCAAGUGGAGUUGUUGGGCAGGCAGUUGAAUAUGUGAGUGUCAAGUUUGUGAGAGAGCUCUGGGUUGAGAGCUCUAGGAUAGAAUUUGUAAUUAACCAGCAUGGGUAGCAUUUGAAGCUAUGUCAUUGGAGGAGAUCAUUAUGGGAGUGAGUCUCUGAGACUCACUCCCAUAGGGAGGAAGAGAAACUAAAAAUGAUGGUGACCACCUCUAGGAAGAAAAAUAAUAAAACAAGGAAGGGGCAUAAGGAUUAAUGGAGAGAGUAAAAUUUUAAGAAGGGAAAUAUUUGUGAAAUUGGAGAUCAUUUCUUUCCCCAAGAAAAGACUAGGACAAAUUGAGAAGAAGCAACCAUGCACAAUAUAAUAGAAAAAAUUCUGCAGAGUAGGGGGAAAAAAACCCAGCGUUUACAAUAGCACAUUGUACUCUGUUAAUGUUAAUGAAAGCAAAGUUAAUGAAAGUAGACUCAGAUCCAUAAAUAUUCCCAGAAAAAUUUUGACCAUUGAAGAUGCCAUCCUAUAGCAUCCAGGCAGAGAAAAUAAUUUGUCUAUAAAGGAAUAAAAACAGGAUUUUUAGUCUUUCUCCAUAAAGAACAAAUGUCAAAAGAAUGUUGUUCAGGCAGUUCAUAUAUCCAGCUAAGAUUGUGUGUUACUACAUGAAGUGUGAAAUGACUAUGAAAAUACCAUUUUGACCCCUUAUAAAAACAAAGUCAAGUAUAUCUUUUACUUAUUGAGAAUCUUACUUCCAAGAACUGUGGUGAGCAAUGAUACAAGUAAACAUAGACAUUUCAAUUUAAUCAGUUGUUACAAAAAAAGACAGCAAGAGUAAGUUCAAAAGUAAACUACACAUUGUUAAACAAGAAGCAUAUUUUAUGAAAGUAUUCAUGUAUUUGUAAAUAUAAACUUAAUUCCAGAAAUGGAUUUGAGAUAGAUAACAUAAAUUUUAAAAAAUCAGCAAGAAGAGCAUAAAGACAAGUGAGAUAAAUUAAUCAGAAGAAUAUGAAGAAUAUAAAACUUAGCUGAACUAGCCUCAGAAUGUAUAUUAAAUGUCAUGUAUUUUACAGUGGUGGGUCAGGCAACUAGUUCUAUGAAAGUCUAGUAAAUGAUAUGAACAGUUUUACAAACAAUUGUGAAGAUUCAUAGGGCCUCUAAGGAAAUACGUGUACACACAUAUGCACUGUCCAGAAGAAUCCCAACUAUUCCUGGAAUUGUGACCUGAAAAAAUUUUUUCCACUUAAUGUCAUGGAGAAAUAAGCACUAAAUGUAAUCAAGAACAAUAUCCUUGACUUCUUGAUGAUGUGCAUGUUAAAUAAAUACCCACUACGUUUCAUAGAACUGUUUUUUGUUUGUUUGUAGAGACAGGGUCUUGCCAUGUUGCCCAGGCUGGUCUCAGACUCCUGGACUCAAGGAAUUCACUUGCCUCAGCCUCCCAAAAUGCUGGGAUUAUGAGUGAGAACCACCAUGCCUGGCCAGAGCUGUUUUUUUUUUUUUUAAAUAACGUCACUUAAUAUAGGUUUACAAUAUGGUGGCAAAAAUGAAUUACUCUAAGUAAUUUUUACCAAAAGCUAAUCCUUUCUGAUUGUGUGGUUUAAUCUCGCUGUAGGUUUUUGAGUGUCUAGAGUGAUAUAUAUUCUUCCAGUCAUCAUUAGUAAAUGUUAUCUUUCUUAGUUGAUACAUUGAAAAUUAUUGAGAAGUGAUUUGAGAUGAUGAUCCCUGAAAUUUGAUAAUAAAAUGCUAUAAUUUAGGUUACCAGGGAGAUGACAUUCUUUUGAGAGAGUCAUUGAGCUCAACAAAAUCUUAAAUGGAAGACAUGGUUAGCUGGAAUGCUUUCUUGCCCUUCAUUGGAGUUAAAGAUAUGAUAAUUAACCAUUCAAGCAUCACCAUCAUCAUCUGUAAUUUAAUGCUAUUAGUUUAAAUCUGAUAGUAUUGACUUGAACGGUCAGAGAAAGUCUCAGCAGACAUAAUCUAAAAGCAGGCAAAAUUUCUUAUAAUUUUAAAAUUUGAAUUUAGAUAAGAUAUCAUUUACUAUGUUUUUGGAAAACGUUAUUGCAUUUAAAUUUACACUGUUCAUACUUUUAUGGAAUAAACAUAACUUUGAGUUGUAUUUCAUAAUAUAUACAACUGCAUUCUAUUCCAUCACAUGUCAUGUUCUCUUUCAUUUUAUAUAGUUAGAUUACUUUUCUGGUCUAAAACAUCAGAAUAGUACCUUGUGAGAUGAAAUGAGGGUGUCAGGAAUUGAAGUGUAUUAUAAGCUGGAGUGGAAAAAAGGCAUUGUGUAUAGCACCCCUCCCUCAUGUCAGCCUAACAAGCUCAUAAGAAUUUCAGCUUGGUCUUUGCCUGUUUGUAUCCUGGCCAUUGGCUUAAAAAUCUUCUGUGUAGUUUGGAAACAUUCUAUUCCUUGGUGGCUUAUGAUGUUAAAUGAGACCUUACUAUGUGUCAGUCACUACCUCAAGGCACCAGGGAUGAAGAAAUAUGUUAGGUAGGUUAUGACACUAUAACAAAAAGAUCCCAAAAGAUAGUGGCUUAAACAAGGUGAUUAUUUAUUUUAAAAAGUGGAUAAGUGGUACAGGCUUGGUGUAGCAGUGGCUCAGCCAGGUUGGAAAUUUAACUUCUUGCUCUUCCAUUCUCAGAAUGUGGCUUCAAUUUUAUGGACCAAGAGACCACUCCAGGUCUCAUGUUAAUUUUGCAUUCUAGCCAAUGGGAAAGGAGAAAAGCAAGGGGAAGACAUGCCCCCUUGCUUUUCUUAGGGAAAACUACCUAAAAAAUUACAUAUGUGACUUGCGCUCAUUUCCUAUUGCUAGAUCUUAGUUACAUUGCCACAGCUAAGUGCAAGUGAGGCUGUGAAAUUGCUAUGGCUGGAUGGCCAUAUUUAGCAUAACCUCUGCAGGUUCUAUUGCUGAUAAAAGAAUGGGAGAAUAAAUAUGGUCAGAUAACUAACAGACUCUUUCUCAUGUGGUGAAGAAAUUAGGCAUGAUCCUUGUCUUAAAUUUGGUUUGAAAGUUAGAAUUUACUCUUUUAAUUCUAUUCAGAUUCUUUAUGCUAGUUAUACACCAUUUUAUUUUGCCUGCCAAUGUUGCUCUCUCCUGCAAUCUCAAGUUAUGGGCAUUUAAGUAUAAAAUAGUAUAGAACUUACAAUGUAUUAACUGUAUUUCUUCUAUUCAAUCCUAGUGGCUCAUGUUACUAAUUCCCCACAUAUCUCGUCCAAUAUCUACUCAAGUUAGCCAAAUACUUGUCCCUCAUUCUGCUAUGAACUCAUUUUAGGCAGAGAUUCCUAACCAAACUAGAAAACUGUGCUCUGAGCAGAGCCAAGUCCAUGGUAAGCAUCCCAUAAAUAUUUGAUAGAUUUUUAUUAAAUUGGUAAUGAAAGUUAGCACAAGAAUUGGAUGCUGAAUAGAGCAAGAAAACUCAAUCUGAUCCAGUCCAAUUUAAAUGUAAACUGAGCCUACAUUAUUUCUACUUUUCACUCUCUCUUCACUAUGACAUUUAUGUGCUUGUUUAGUUUAGGGCUACACAUAAGAAUGACCAUGAACAUUUGACUUGGGAAAGGGGAAUCAGGAAAUUGUUCACCUUCUUGAUCAUUUUGUCAACCCCUCUUUCCCAAAGGAGACGUUUAUGUAGCCCAAUAACUUCACUGAGCUGAAAUAAAAUACAUCUUCAUGUUUUCUUUCUCUAUAAUUUCUGUAGAAAAUAUAAUUUGCAUUCAUUUUUUGGAAGAAAAGAAUCUUAAAGAAACUUUUAAUUUUAUGUGCUAGCAUAGGAAAUGUAGUUAAUAAAAGGAAAAAAGAAUGGAGACAAGGAGGAGGGAACAGAGAGAAAGAGAGCAAUGAUUUUUAAAAAGUUUUUGUUAUGCAUAGCUACUUAUCUUGUGUCAUGGAUGAUAAAUGAACAACUAGUAGAAUGGUAAUACAGUAAAUACAUUGAAAGCCAAUUACUAAUGAUAUAGGAGCAUUAAAAAGCAACUACAGCUGAAUUGUAGCAAAUCAGUCAGAGUAUUAAAAAUAUUAGAUUUAUGAAAGAGUGAAGUACUCUUAAAGAACAUCUGCAAAAUCAAGGAUGUAAUAAUGGCAUUAAAGCUGAUGAAGAAAAUGUUAUAAAUCACAUCAUCUGACUUGGAAGUUCUCCCAAUACUUGGAAUUUUAUUUCAAGAGAACCUCUAGUUCUGAACUAAAUGCCAUAAAUUUGAGAAUUGUGUUCACUUUUGUCACUUGAUCCAUUUGGUCAUACAUUUUGUGUGAGCCUCCAUAAAAGGUUUCCCCCUGACCUUAGACUGAUAAUUACUGUUUGUCUGAGUAAUGUCCUUUCCUCUUAAAAAAAAAAAAGUUUACUUAGGUUGUGUUCACACUGUCUUCUCGGCCAGGACUCUUAGCAUCUCUGACCUCAGUGCUGCUCUUGUAGUUGAUUUGGGCUCUUUGGCUAUGACAGUAUAACUUUGAAGUUCUUUUAAAAUAAUGGCACUGCAUAUGACACGAAACAGUCUUACUUUUUCAUUCAGAAGUUGUAUUUCUCUUUUGUUGAGAUAAUGAAACAAACAUCUUUUCAAAUAAAUGUUCGUUAUAAUUCUCAAAUGUAACCUUUAGAAAUUCAUCUCAAUUAAAUUGCGCAAAUGUAUUCAUAUCAAAUUUGACUGUAGUGGAGAAGACAAGUUAAAACACAGAAUGGAUUUAUCUAAUAGUCAUAUUUUUUCCUCUCUCUCAUAUUCAUGUUCCAGGCAUGAAUAUGAUAAUGUUAUGUUGUGAGCUAAAGUAUUUAUAAUUAAUAAUGAAGUAGAUACUCUAAUAAAAUGUAUCACCUAAAGAAAAGAACAAGUGUUAAUGUGGUGUUACAGUAACAAUCUUUUUAUUAUAGCACAGGCAGGAGGAUGCUAUAUAUAUAUAUAUAUAUAUAUAUAAAACAUACACAUACAGAUACACAAAAACAUAGAUGUAUUUCUCAAGCAUUUAAGAUAUAGUCCAAUUCAGACUAAAGGAACUAUUUCUUUCUGCAAAAAUGAAGCAGUACUAAUAUAUAAAAUGACAGUAGGAAACAUUAUACAAAUUUUAUAAAGUAGAAAUCAUUUCAGUAGCAACAGAUACACUUUGAAAAAUAGUGUAAGUGGAAAAACAGAGGCACUAACAGCAACUUUGUAAAGGAGUCCUUCUGUUUGUGCUUGUAAAUUGCUGAUCACCCCAGCAAUUCUGGACUGUAUUUGCAAGGAUUGUAGGCUUUACACAAACCUACGCCUAAUUAUUAUGGGUGUGGAGCUGUCAUUAUAUUGACAUUUGUCAAGGUUACCUCUAGAGAAGGUGACAAUUGCGUCAAAAUCUGGCUCCACCUUUGUCUCAGUGUGAACAAGCUAUUUUAACUAAUUUGAAUUUGUUUUUCUAUGUGUAAGGUGGAUAAAUUCAUAUACUUUUUAGUAAGUCUUUGUGAGGUUUGAAUGAUGUAACUUAUGUAAACAGCUAGUGACCAGUAGUUUUCCCGUGGAUUAAUUGCUCUGUUCCCUGGCUUUGAGGUGCCUCUGUCUGCACUGACUGCAAUGGGGGUGGCAACAGCUCAGUGGAACAGUCUGCCAGAGAGAAGGUGCCUAUAAAAGCAGAAACAAAAACAGCCAAACAAAUAAUACUGGAUUUAUGGCUCAUUAUUUUUGAAUUUAACCGUUGUGUUCCUUUUCACCAGUAGUGAAGAUAAUAGAAUCAGAGAACACUAAGUAAACAUUUGUUUUUUGUGACUUUUUUUCUUCUUAGAAUUUACCCAAAUUUUCAUAAUCUCUGCCUACAGAAUUAACUGAUUAAUUGUGGACAAUUAAAUGUGAACAAAGAAUAAUUGUAAAUACGAUAUAAUGCACAUGAAUCAAUGGAUAGGGUUUUGUUUUGUUAGAAUUAGCUCUCUCUUGGGGCUAAUAUGACCAUAUUCUGGCUAUUAAUUUAGCAUAAAUGGCAAACUGUUUUGGUUUCUGUGGAGAUUUUUUGUUCUGGUUUACUGGUAUAUGACUGUUUCCUCACCUUUUCAUUUCCUGUAAUAGCACCAAGUACAGUAUCUAAAUUUUGACUAAUAUAAAUCAAAGCACAUGCUUUCCUUUCAGUAAAGUCCUCUAAUUCAACACAUGUGCAGGAUUUUCCUUUUUAAUGCAUUAGACAUCUGUUAUUGCUAAUGGGGAUAAAAUGUCACGUUUAAAACAAUAUGAGUCAUUAAAAGCAGUUCAAAUUUUAAAUACUUUGAAAUUAUUUAUGCUAGAAAAGUUGAUUUUUUUUCUUCUGUGGCUGAGUUUUCAAACAAGAAUAUGCAAAAUAUGUCAAAUGAAUAUGCACAUGAACAUGUGAAUAUGAAUUUGUAAAAGCUUUUGGAGAUCAAAUUUAUCAAGUUCUAAUAUAUUCUUUUAGAAAGUAAAUAUUAAAUGUUGCACAAUUUCUAUGCAUCUUCACAUGCACACGCACACACACACGCACUGGGGCUAAGUAGGAAGCAAAACUGUUUACUAAUUGUUUAAAAAUCUGGAAUUUCAUUAGAAAUGUGACGAGUAUUAAUGACUAGUCAAUAAAUUACUUAGUGUUAGCAAAGAUUACUGUUAUCUGGGGGAAGGGGGCUGUGUGUGUGUGUGUGUGUGUGUGUGUGUGUGUUUGUGUGUAAAGUAUAGAUUAACUGAAUUGUUUUUUAGAUGAAACAUCAUAACAUUUAGUCAAAAUUUCCAUUUCGGUGUCAGAAUGAAAGCGCAUAUUUGUUAAAUGGUUUUCCUUUAGAAUUUUAAAGUCUGAGUAUUUAAUAGUAAAUUUAAUCCUUAUCUUUCUAAUUAAUUUUAACUUCCUCUUUUGGGAAAACUGUCAGAAUACAUGCUUUGUUGAAGACAGAUUUAUAAAUGAAAAUUGAUCUUUUCCCAAAACAAAUGAUCUCUUUUAUAUAAAACAAUACCAAAACUGGGAAACUACUCUAGGCUGUUAGAAGUCAGGAUACUGAAUAUCCUUGCAAGAAGAGAGGGGCAAUGAUUGGAAGAGGGCCUGUAGUGUGCUGGUAACGUUUUACUUUCUAGCAUCCAAAACAAAAAAAAAGUUACAGAAUAUAACUUCUAAGCAUCUUAAAUAACUCCUUUAAAUAUUUUAGAGUUAAAAAGGCAAGAGUUCUCACCUAGGUAACUAGAUCCUGCUCUUCAACUAAGAGUAGACAUAAAUUGUACUGUUGUGUUGCUCUUUUUAAAUUUAAAAUAGCUUUAUUAUUUUUCUGAUUACAAAAGGAUGGCCCUGAUUACAAACCAGGAAAACACAAAUGAGCACAAAAAAUGAUCAAUCCCCUUCUAGCAUAUAUAAAAUAAACAUUUACAUUUAUAGAUAUAAAAACAUGCAUAUACAUACACUUACACAUGUUCCAAUAUGAAGCAAAAAUAAAAUUAUGCCUUACAUAUUGCUUUAUAAAAUACUUUUUUCUCAUCAAUUUUUGGAUUUACCUUUUUGUAGUACAAAAUAUUUUGAGAAAUCAUCCUUUUAAUUGAUGCAACAAUUUUAAUUAAGGACAUACUUUUUUAGACAUCUAUGCUGUUUUCCAUAUUUAUAAUAUUUUAUAUUAUAAACAAUACUGAGGUGCAUGUUUUGUAGUGCCAUCUUUGUGCAUGAUCUUGAUUAUUUCUUUAGGCUAAAUUCCUAUAAGUGAAAUCUUUGUAGGGAAGUUGUAAGAAUACACAAAAUGUCAUAAUAUUAUAAAUAUGACUUCGAUCUUCCUAAUCAGAGCCAAGGUUCAGAGAGCAUUCUUGAAGCCCUUCUUGAUAUGGUAAAUUAUUUGAACCUCAGAUACUCUUGAAUAUCCCUAAGAGAAAACAGUCUUACUCCCAAGAAAAAUUCUGUUUUUCUCAUUGAGUCAAUGACCCUCAUCUAAUCAAUGAGUGUUCUGUAAGUUUUCAGAAUAGCAAUUCCAGACACUUUCAUUUCUACCACUGUCUGGCUGUUGGUCUUAGUAGUUAUAUUUAGACCUGAUAUACAUAUGUAGUGCCAAUGUUUGGUGAAGACCUAGCAAAAUUCCUGGGCUUGUUUUCAGUGUGUAGAAAAAUACUGAUGCUCACUUAAAUACCUGUUUUGGUUACAAUAGAUGGAACAUUCAAUAAUUCUUAUUAUUAAGACAUAAAUUCUUCAAGUAAAAGACAUCUAUUACUAAAAAAGAGUAAAACUAUCUAGCAAAUUAUGGAGGAAAAGGAAGAAAAGUCAACCCUUUCUAAGGUUUGAGCUAGGAAUAAAAACAAUUUACAGGCCAGGUGUGGUGGCUCAUGCCUUUAAUCUCAGCACUUUGGGAGUCUGAGGCAGGUGGAUCACUUGAGGUCAGGAGUUCGAGACCAACCCGGCCAACAUGGUGAAACUGCCUCUCUAAUAAAAAUACAAAAUUAGAUGGGCAUCGUGGCAGGUGCCUGUAAUCCCAGCUACUUGGGAGGCUGAGGUGGGAGAAUUGCUUGAAUCUGGGAGGCAGAAGCUGCAGUGAGUUGAAAUCAUGCCACUGCACUCCAGCCUGAGCACCAGAGUGAGACUGUCUCAAAACAAAAACGAAAUCAAACAGAAAGAAACCACUUUAAAUAUCCACAAUUCAUUCUGAAAUACACGUGAAGGCACUCUGAUGGAAAUACUUUUGUUUUGCAUGUUUCCAUGUAUGUGAAUCAUACAAAUAGCAUGGAGCAGGGGGAUUGUUGAAUUGAGAAGCAGAAGUUCUGAGGGUGUUCAGUGUAAGGACCCUGAGAUUUGGAUUGAAGUAUGAUGCAUGUAUUCAUGUGCAUGUAAUUUGGGAAGAAGUUGUUGUGUUGUGUUAUGUAAUGCUCUGAGUUUGGAGCCUUUUUCAGCCUGUUUUAUGUUAACUUUAGAAGCAGUUGACUGAAUUUGAUGAAAUGUAGUAUACUAAUAAAGGGUAUGAAAUUUAA